RNAcentral lists this ribosomal RNA (384 nucleotides) under uncultured bacterium. RNAcentral describes it as "bacterial SSU rRNA". It matches the Rfam family "Bacterial small subunit ribosomal RNA", at positions 362 to 758 of the family's 1533-position model. The record is from RNAcentral.
UAUUGGACAAUGGGCGAAAGCCUGAUCCAGCAAUGCCGCGUGAGUGAUGAAGCCCUUAGGGUUGUAAAGCUCUUUUACCCGGGAUGAUAAUGACAGUACCGGGAGAAUAAGCUCCGGCUAACUCCGUGCCAGCAGCCGCGGUAAUACGGAGGGAGCAAGCGUUGUUCGGAAUUACUGGGCGUAAAGCGCACGUAGGCGGCUUUGUAAGUUAGAGGUGAAAGCCCGGAGCUCAACCCCAGACUCGCCUUUGAUACUGCAUCGCUUGAAUCCAGGAGAGGUGAGUGGAAUUCCGAGUGUAGCAGGUGAAAUUCGUAGAUAUUUGGAAGAACACCAGUGGCGAAGGCAGGCCUCCACUGGAUAUAGUAUUGACGCUCAGGUGCGAAA